GUCUUCUUGUUGAUGAUGGGAAGUCUGACCUGCCCAGUGAAUAAUUUAACGGCCGCGGUAUAUUGACCGUGCAAAGGUAGCAUAAUCAUUAGUCUUUUAAUAAAAGGCUGGCAUGAAUGGUUUGACGAGGUGCUAACUGUCUCAUUUAAUUUUUAUUAGAAUUUAACUUUUUAGUUAAAAGGCUAAAAUACUAUUGGAAGACGAGAAGACCCUAUAGAGCUUUAUAAUAUACUGAAUAACCAUAUUUAGUUUAAUUUUUUUGUUUAUUUUGUUUAUUAUUUUGUUGGGGUGACAAAAAUAUAUAAUUAACUUUUUUAUUUAUUUUACAUUAAUGUAUGAAUUAUUAGAUCCAUUUUUAAUGAUUGUUAGAUCAAGUUACCUUAGGGAUAACAGCGUAAUCUUCUUUCAGAGUUCAAAUUUACAAGAAGGCUUGCGACCUCGAUGUUGGAUUAAGAUUAUAAUUGGGUGCAGCCGCUUAAUUUAUAGGUCUGUUCGACCUUUAAUUUCUUACAUGAUCUGAGUUCAAACCGG
This 531-nucleotide ribosomal RNA is filed under the name Orolestes octomaculatus. RNAcentral's name for it is "partial 16S ribosomal RNA". It matches the Rfam family "Bacterial large subunit ribosomal RNA", at positions 1830 to 2619 of the family's 2925-position model. Lineage: Eukaryota; Metazoa; Arthropoda; Insecta; Odonata; Lestidae. The record is from RNAcentral. RNAcentral also lists the same sequence under 1 other name.